AUUGAAAUCGGCUAUGAUAGCUUGUCGUUUCAUUGGCAAUCAUCGCCCUUUUUAAUG
RNAcentral lists this microRNA precursor (57 nucleotides) under Anopheles gambiae (African malaria mosquito). RNAcentral's name for it is "microRNA aga-mir-10366b precursor". The record is from miRBase by way of RNAcentral. Lineage: Eukaryota; Metazoa; Arthropoda; Insecta; Diptera; Culicidae.